AAUCAACGCUGGCGGCGUGCCUAACACAUGCAAGUCGCACGAGAAAGGGGAGCAAUCCCUGAGUAAAGUGGCGCACGGGUGAGUAACACGUGAAUCAUCUACCUCCGAGUGGGGAAUAACUGAGAGGAAUCUUAGCUAAUACCGCAUAACACUUACGAGUCAAAGCAGCAAUGCGCUUGGAGAGGAGUUCGCGGCCGAUUAGUUAGUUGGCGGGGUAAUGGCCCACCAAGACGAUGAUCGGUAUCCGGCCUGAGAGGGCGCACGGACACACUGGAACUGAAACACGGUCCAGACUCCUACGGGAGGCAGCAGUGGGGAAUUUUGCGCAAUGGGGGAAACCCUGACGCAGCAACGCCGCGUGGAGGAUGAAGUAUCUUGGUACGUAAACUCCUUUCGAUUGGGAAGAUAAUGACGGUACCAAUAGAAGAAGCCCCGGCUAACUUCGUGCCAGCAGCCGCCGC
This 461-nucleotide ribosomal RNA is filed under the name uncultured bacterium. Its description in RNAcentral is "bacterial SSU rRNA". It matches the Rfam family "Bacterial small subunit ribosomal RNA", at positions 32 to 521 of the family's 1533-position model. The record is from RNAcentral.